GGGGAAUUAGCUCAGUUGGCUAGAGCGCCACGCUUGCACCGUGGAGGUCAAGGGUUCGAAUCCCUUAUUCUCCACCA
This 77-nucleotide transfer RNA is filed under the name Bacilli bacterium. Its description in RNAcentral is "tRNA-Ala". It matches the Rfam family "tRNA". From Rfam's summary of the family: Transfer RNA (tRNA) molecules are approximately 80 nucleotides in length. Their secondary structure includes four short double-helical elements and three loops (D, anti-codon, and T loops). The record is from RNAcentral. Lineage: Bacteria; Bacillati; Bacillota; Bacilli. RNAcentral also lists the same sequence under 2 other names.